Molecule: ribosomal RNA, 422 nt
Filed under: uncultured eukaryote
Lineage: Eukaryota
Description: bacterial SSU rRNA
Rfam family: Eukaryotic small subunit ribosomal RNA
Source: RNAcentral
CAAUAACGUAUAUUAAAGUUGUUGCGGUUAAAAAGCUCGUAGUUGGAUUUCUGUUGAAAGCGAUCGGUCCCCUCUCUGAGGGCGUAUCUGACUCGCUUUUGGCAUCCUCCUGUAGCACGUUUCUGUCCUUCACUGGAUGGAGCGGGAUGCAGGACUUUUACUUUGAGGAAAUUCGAGUGUUCACAGCAGGCAAUCGCCCUGAAGAUAUUAGCAUGGAAUAAUAAUAUAGGACCUUGGUUCUAUUUUGUUGGUUUCUAGAGCUGAGGUAAUGAUUAAUAGGGAUAUUUGGGGGCAUUAGUACUUAACUGUCAGAGGUGAAAUUCUCCGAUUUGUUAAAGACUAACUUAUGCGAAAGCAUUUGCCAAGGAUGUUUUCAUUAAUCAAGAACGAAAGUUAGGGGAUCAAAGACGAUUAGAUACCGU